Molecule: ribosomal RNA, 503 nt
Filed under: uncultured bacterium
Lineage: Bacteria
Description: bacterial SSU rRNA
Rfam family: Bacterial small subunit ribosomal RNA
Source: RNAcentral
AGUUUGAUCCUGGCUCAGGAUGAACGCUAGCGGCAGGCUUAAUACAUGCAAGUCGAGGGGCGGCAUGGUGUAGCAAUACACUGAUGGCGACCGGCAAACGGGUGCGGAACACGUACAGAACCUUCCUUCGAGCGGGGAAUAGCCCAGAGAAAUUUGGAUUAAUACCCCAUAGUAUAUUGGAGUGGCAUCACUUUAGUAUUAAAGAUUUAUCACUUGAAGAUGGCUGUGCGGCUGAUUAGGUAGUUGGCGGGGUAACGGCCCACCAAGCCUGCGAUCAGUAACUGGUGUGAGAGCACGACCAGUCACACGGGCACUGAGACACGGGCCCGACUCCUACGGGAGGCAGCAGUAAGGAAUAUUGGUCAAUGGACGAAAGUCUGAACCAGCCAUGCCGCGUGGAGGAUGAAGGUCCUCUGGAUUGUAAACUUCUUUUAUAUGGGACGAAAAAGGGCUUUCUAGCUCGUCUGACGGUACCAUAUGAAUAAGCACCGGCUAACUCCGUG